Molecule: long non-coding RNA, 157 nt
Organism: Rhododendron vialii
Lineage: Eukaryota; Viridiplantae; Streptophyta; Magnoliopsida; Ericales; Ericaceae
Exons: 2
Source: RefSeq, a predicted model, not a curated record
CGACGACGACGAAGAUCGAUCGAACGAGAAGGAUUCAUCUGGAGAAGAAGAACAAGUAACAGAGAGAAGGACUGAGACGACGAACGAUUCACGCUUGGAAUCCAAACGAAGAACGCUAAGGAGAUCGAAACGCCGAUCAAUAAGGUCUCUAACCAAG